AAAUUUGAAAUCUGGCGUUUGCCCGAGUUGUAAUUUGUAGAGGAUGCUUCUGGCCAGCGGCCGUUCUAAGUUCCUUGGAACAGGACGUCAUAGAGGGUGAGAAUCCCGUAUGUGACCGGCGCGCAGCCUUUACGUAGCUCCUUCGACGAGUCGAGUUGUUUGGGAAUGCAGCUCUAAAUGGGAGGUAAAUUUCUUCUAAAGCUAAAUACCGGCCAGAGACCGAUAGCGCACAAGUAGAGUGAUCGAAAGAUGAAAAGCACUUUGGAAAGAGAGUUAAAAAGCACGUGAAAUUGUUGAAAGGGAAGCGCUUGCAACCAGACUUCGUAGCGAUGUUCCGCUGGUCUUCUGACCGGUCUACUCAUCGUCGCGAGGCCAACAUCGUCUGGGCCCGCUGGAUAAGACCUAAGGAAUGUAGCUUCCCUCGGGAAGUGUUAUAGCCUGUGGUGAUGCAGCGCGGCUCGGGCGAGGUCCGCGCUUCGGCAAGGAUGUUGGCGUAAUGGUUGUCAGCGGCCCGUCUUGAAACACGGACCAAGGAGUCUAACAUCUAUGCGAGUGUUCGGGUGUCAAACCCCUACGCGUAAUGAAAGUGAACGGAGGUGGGAAGCGCAAGCUGCACCAUCGACCGAUCCUGAUGUCCUCGGAUGGAUUUGAGUAAGAGCAUAGCUGUUGGGACCCGAAAGAUGGUGAACUAUGCCUGAAUAGGGUGAAGCCMGAGGAAACUCUGG
This 725-nucleotide ribosomal RNA is filed under the name Paramycovellosiella passaloroides. Its description in RNAcentral is "eukaryotic LSU rRNA". It matches the Rfam family "Eukaryotic large subunit ribosomal RNA", at positions 111 to 867 of the family's 3401-position model. Lineage: Eukaryota; Fungi; Ascomycota; Dothideomycetes; Mycosphaerellales; Mycosphaerellaceae. The record is from RNAcentral.